AGUGAACGCUGGCGGUAGGCCUAACACAUGCAAGUCGAACGACAGCACAGUAAGAGCUUGCUCUUACGGGUGGCGAGUGGCGGACGGGUGAGGAAUACAUCGGAAUCUACUUUUUCGUGGGGGAUAACGUAGGGAAACUUACGCUAAUACCGCAUACGACCUACGGGUGAAAGCAGGGGAUCUUCGGACCUUGCGCGAUUGAAUGAGCCGAUGUCGGAUUAGCUAGUUGGCGGGGUAAGGGCCCACCAAGGCGACGAUCCGUAGCUGGCCUGAGAGGAUGAUCAGCCACACUGGAACUGAGACACGGUCCAGACUCCUACGGGAGGCAGCAGUGGGGAAUAUUGGACAAUGGGCGCAAGCCUGAUCCAGCCAUACCGCGUGGGUGAAGAAGGCCUUCGGGUUGUAAAGCCCUUUUGUUGGGAAAGAAAAGCAGCAGGUUAAUACCCCGCUGUUCUGACGGUACCCAAAGAAUAAGCACCGGCUAACUUCGUG
This 492-nucleotide ribosomal RNA is filed under the name uncultured bacterium. RNAcentral's name for it is "partial 16S ribosomal RNA". It matches the Rfam family "Bacterial small subunit ribosomal RNA", at positions 29 to 507 of the family's 1533-position model. The record is from RNAcentral.